AUUGAACGCUGGCGGCAGGCCUAACACAUGCAAGUCGAACGGUAACAGGAAGCAGCUUGCUGCUUUGCUGACGAGUGGCGGACGGGUGAGUAAUGUCUGGGAAACUGCCUGAUGGAGGGGGAUAACUACUGGAAACGGUAGCUAAUACCGCAUAACGUCGCAAGACCAAAGAGGGGGACCUUCGGGCCUCUUGCCAUCGGAUGUGCCCAGAUGGGAUUAGCUAGAAGGUGGGGUAACGGCUCACCUAGGCGACGAUCCCUAGCUGGUCUGAGAGGAUGACCAGCCACACUGGAACUGAGACACGGUCCAGACUCCUACGGGAGGCAGCAGUGGGGAAUAUUGCACAAUGGGCGCAAGCCUGAUGCAGCCAUGCCGCGUGUAUGAAGAAGGCCUUCGGGUUGUAAAGUACUUUCAGCGGGGAGGAAGGGAGUAAAGUUAAUACCUUUGCUCAUUGACGUUACCCGCAGAAGAAGCACCGGCUAACUCCGUG
This 490-nucleotide ribosomal RNA is filed under the name uncultured bacterium. RNAcentral describes it as "partial 16S ribosomal RNA". It matches the Rfam family "Bacterial small subunit ribosomal RNA", at positions 30 to 507 of the family's 1533-position model. The record is from RNAcentral.